This 454-nucleotide ribosomal RNA is filed under the name uncultured bacterium. RNAcentral's name for it is "bacterial SSU rRNA". It matches the Rfam family "Bacterial small subunit ribosomal RNA", at positions 917 to 1382 of the family's 1533-position model. The record is from RNAcentral.
GGGCCCGCACAAGCAGCGGAGCGUGUGGUUUAAUUCGAUGAUACGCGAAGAACCUCACCCAGGUUUGACAUGCAUGUGGUACUGAUGUGAAAGCUGAGGGACCCUUCGGGGAGCAUGCACAGGUGUUGCACGGCCGUCGUCAGCUCGUGCCGUGAGGUGUUGGGUUAAGUCCCGCAACGAGCGCAACCCCUGUCGCCAGUUGUAUUUUUCUGGCGAGACUGCCGAGAAAACCUCGGAGGAAGGAGGGGACGAUGUCAGGUCAGCGUGGCCCUUACGCCUGGGGCUACACACACGCUACAAUGGGCAGUACAACGGGUCGCGAAGCCGCGAGGUGGAGCCAAUCCCAUCAAAGCUGUCCUCAGUUCGGAUUGCAGGCUGAAACCCGCCUGCAUGAAGCCGGAGUUGCUAGUAACCGCAGGUCAGCAUUACUGCGGUGAAUACGUUCCCGGGCCUU